RNAcentral lists this ribosomal RNA (586 nucleotides) under uncultured bacterium. RNAcentral's name for it is "partial 16S ribosomal RNA". It matches the Rfam family "Bacterial small subunit ribosomal RNA", at positions 355 to 1375 of the family's 1533-position model. The record is from RNAcentral.
UGGGGAAUUUUGGACAAUGGGCGAAAGCCUGAUCCAGCAAUGCCGCGUGUGUGAAGAAGGCCUUCGGGUUGUAAAGCACUUUUGUCCGGAAAGAAAUCCUUGGCUCUAAUACAGUCGGGGGAUGACGGUACCGGAAGAAUAAGCACCGGCUAACUACGUGCCAGCAGCCGCGGUAAUACGUAGGGUGCAAGCGUUAAUCGGAAUUACUGGGCGUAAAGCGUGCGCAGGCGGUUUGCUAAGACCGAUGUGAAAUCCCCGGGCUCAACCUGGGAACUGCAUUGGUGACUGGCAGGCUAGAGUAUGGCAGAGGGGGGUAGAAUUCCACGUGUAGCAGUGAAAUGCGUAGAGAUGUGGAGGAAUACCGAUGGCGAAGGCAGCCCCCUGGGCCAAUACUGACGCUCAUGCACGAAAGCGUGGGGAGCAAACAGGAUUAGAUGCCCCUGGUAGUCCACGCCCUAAACGAUGUCAACUAGUUGUUGGGGAUUCAUUUCCUUAGUAACGUAGCUAACGCGUGAAGUUGACCGCCUGGGGAGUACGGUCGCAAGAUUAAAACUCAAAGGAAUUGACGGGGUCAUAGCUGUUUCCU